This 1278-nucleotide long non-coding RNA is filed under the name Papio anubis (olive baboon). RNAcentral describes it as "lncRNA (ENSPANG00000044267.1)". Lineage: Eukaryota; Metazoa; Chordata; Mammalia; Primates; Cercopithecidae. The record is from RNAcentral.
UAAACUAGUUUUUGACCUUUUCAAGAUGGUAGGGAACCAUUCAUCAUUUUAAAAACUGGUAAUUAAAGAAAACCAUCAAGCUUUAUCUUGUCUUUCUGGUAAGCUUUAUAGAUCAGGGUGACAAAAGAGUUCAUGAGAAAAUUUCUUCUUUGAAGAAUUUUAGCUAACAGAUGAAGAAGGAAUGAUAGCAUUAUCAUAUGACUAUUCCACAAUCCCUAAUGAAUUAAUGGUUCCAGGCAUUGAUCAUCAAUGGCUGCUACCAUCACAAAAAGAGAAAUAAGUAUGCAUUGUGCAUUUCCAGAUGGAAGUUCAUCUAAAAGUAGUUUUACAACUACACAAAUAAAAUCAAGCCUGAAUCUGACCUAAGCUCUAGGAAGGUAGCAAUUUUGAAUAUGUUAUUAGUAACUGUAGUCAUGGUGCUGUGCAUAGAUCUCUAAAAGUCGUUCUUCUCGUAGAAGAAUGUCAUUUAUAGUUCAAUAAAGCUGUAAAACAUUUAAAAACAAAGUUAUUAAAGAAGAAUAAUAUUCUUACAGAUAAUGAAACUAACUAGAAGUAGAUGCCAGGAAAACAAGAGUAGAAGAAAACUUUCUAUCCUUGAACAACAGCUCCCCAUUCCUCAUCUCCCUACUUCAGCCAUUGUUGUGAAGUUCUGGGCUCUGAGGGCUGUUUUAGCAAGGUGAAUCCAGGUGAGAGCCUGCACAGAAGGUUCAGAGGUCCCCAGGAAUUGAAACAUUAGGGAUUCUGAGAAAACCUUGGCCCCAGAAUCAUAAACUUAGAGGUAAUGUAUGAGUGUGUCUGGUGUCUUUAGUCCUCUAAAAGCUAAAGAGAAACUGAGCCACUGAAUGAGGUGUCUCUACUCCUGAGGCUGAAAGAGUUCAAGGAGAUGGAGAACACAACAGCCCACAGAAUAUUUUACUUUCCAUCCUUGCCAGACUGCUACCACAACUUGUAACAUAUUCAACUAAUAAUAAAAAUAAUAACUAAUUUAUGGGUACUCAGGAACAGAGAGAGGAAGAUCAAACAGAACAAAAGUCCAGCAACAUAGAGCUACUGGAUGACAACAAUAGCAAAAACAAAAUAAAAGUAUUUAAGGAUCUUUAGAUACAGCACAGAAAAACAUAAUAAAUUCAUGACUUUUAAGCUAAAACUUUCAGGAAAUUAACUGAAUUACCAAAAAUGAUCAAAGUAGAAAUCUUGCAUAUAUCUAUUGCCACAGAGAUUGGUAAGAUAUGCAAAAUCUACUAUUUGAAAAAGCAGCAAGACCAGAUGGGUUCUAAA